GAUGAACGCUGGCGGCGUGCCUAAUACAUGCAAGUCGAGCGAACAGACGAGGAGCUUGCUCCUCUGACGUUAGCGGCGGACGGGUGAGUAACACGUGGAUAACCUACCUAUAAGACUGGGAUAACUUCGGGAAACCGGAGCUAAUACCGGAUAAUAUAUUGAACCGCAUGGUUCAAUAGUGAAAGACGGUUUUGCUGUCACUUAUAGAUGGAUCCGCGCCGCAUUAGCUAGUUGGUAAGGUAACGGCUUACCAAGGCGACGAUGCGUAGCCGACCUGAGAGGGUGAUCGGCCACACUGGAACUGAGACACGGCCCAGACUCCUACGGGAAGCAGCAGUAGGGAAUCUUCCGCAAUGGGCGAAAGCCUGACGGAGCAACGCCGCGUGAGUGAUGAAGGUCUUCGGAUCGUAAAACUCUGUUAUUAGGGAAGAACAAAUGUGUAAGUAACUAUGCACGUCUUGACGGUACCUAAUCAGAAAGCCACGGCUAACUACGUG
This 497-nucleotide ribosomal RNA is filed under the name uncultured bacterium. RNAcentral's name for it is "partial 16S ribosomal RNA". It matches the Rfam family "Bacterial small subunit ribosomal RNA", at positions 28 to 507 of the family's 1533-position model. The record is from RNAcentral.